This 431-nucleotide long non-coding RNA is filed under the name Jatropha curcas. RNAcentral describes it as "long non-coding RNA (JCUR_LNC003587)". Lineage: Eukaryota; Viridiplantae; Streptophyta; Magnoliopsida; Malpighiales; Euphorbiaceae. The record is from RNAcentral.
AGUAAUAAAGUAGCACAAAAAAAUAAAGCCUUGUUUUUUUAAGGAAAAAUAAGAGUUAACCCCAUACGUAUUAAUCUUUGCAGAUGUUCCAAACAUCCAACAUCAGCUCAAGAAUCCUCAUGUUAUAAUCAUAACAGGGCAAUCAGGAAACAAAUGACCAUUAGAAUUAAAGGAUUUUCAACCUUGUUGAGUUAUGGUGUAGACAAGGAUGGCAAGGACAUGGCCAGAAAGAGAAUACAUAAAGGGAGUGUCAUAAUAUGUUAUGAAUAAAACAUGCAAAUAACAGAGAAAGUUUGUUCAUGUUCUUUCCUUCUCUUCAAUUCAACUCUAAUUCCUAUGAGAAUGAAAAUGGAACCUCUAGUCAUCCUCAGCAAAGAUGACUCGAGCCUAGUGGCAACAUUUCCCCCUUUGACAAUAGGAUUUAAACAUCC